RNAcentral lists this transfer RNA (86 nucleotides) under Actinomycetes bacterium. RNAcentral's name for it is "tRNA-Leu". It matches the Rfam family "tRNA". From Rfam's summary of the family: Transfer RNA (tRNA) molecules are approximately 80 nucleotides in length. Their secondary structure includes four short double-helical elements and three loops (D, anti-codon, and T loops). Further hydrogen bonds mediate the characteristic L-shaped molecular structure. tRNAs have two regions of fundamental functional importance: the anti-codon, which is responsible for specific mRNA codon recognition, and the 3' end, to which the tRNAs corresponding amino acid is attached (by aminoacyl-tRNA synthetases). tRNAs cope with the degeneracy of the genetic code in two manners: having more than one tRNA (with a specific anti-codon) for a particular amino acid; and 'wobble' base-pairing, i.e. permitting non-standard base-pairing at the 3rd anti-codon position. Lineage: Bacteria; Bacillati; Actinomycetota; Actinomycetes. The record is from RNAcentral.
GUCGGAGUGGCGGAAUGGCAGACGCGCUAGCUUGAGGGGCUAGUGCCCAGCAGGGCGUGAGGGUUCAAGUCCCUCCUCCGACACCA